Molecule: RNA transcript, 2535 nt
Organism: Beta vulgaris subsp. vulgaris (sugar beet)
Lineage: Eukaryota; Viridiplantae; Streptophyta; Magnoliopsida; Caryophyllales; Amaranthaceae
Exons: 3
Source: RefSeq, a predicted model, not a curated record
GUUUCUUUAUUGGGAAAGCCCAAAUAACCAUCCCCCAUUCCGUCGGUUGUUCUAAAAACCCCAUUUCAUUUUUUUUUCUCCCAAACAAAACCCCAAUCCGAGUUCUCUCUCCUUCCCGUGAGGACAAACUCAAGAGAAACCCCAAACCCCAUUUCUCCCUCAUCCUCCCUAUGAAACCCCAACUCCCCUGAGUUCGUCGGCCCACAGCUCGCCACCCUAUUCUCCAUCUCUUUCUUUGUUGUGCGUUGGUUGUUUCCUCGCUACUGUUGUUGAUUGUGGUUGGUAGUGUUGUCGCCAGUACGAUUUUCCCCUCCCCUGUUCUUGUCGUCCCUGCUGCUCUGUUUUGGUUUGUUGCUGCCACUUCGAGCGUGUAGUUGUUAUUGAUGUUGCUGUGUUUGUUCGGUGUUGAUUGAGGUGCUGAUGCCACCAAUCUGCUCCCCGUAUUGAUUACGAGUUCGUAGAGGAACCUUUUUGAUUUGAGAUUGAGAUUCAUUGAAUGUGAUUGUUGAUAAGGAAUCUAAAAAGGGAAAGUAGCCUUGUCUGAGUCGACGGAUGAAGUAACACGAACCAUGACCCAUGGAUUGUGAACCUUGGGGGCCCCACAAGGAAGCCUGCCCAUUGCUCUGUUGGGCGAAAUCCGACGAUAUAUCAGGUAAUGUGAAACAUGUGGAUGGCUGAUUGAAUCAACGAAAAAAGGUACUCGAGACUUGUCGUGGUUAGUGGCUAAAAGUAAAGCGAAUGGUUGGGUGACGACCUCCACUGUUGGAGUGUAAGCUUAGUCUCCUCCGCCGCAUUCUUUUUCCCCUUGGUUAAAAGAAAGUAAUCUCAAGUUGUAUAAGUUCUAUCGAUAUUGGAUUCCUGGUAAGGAAUCGUAUCGUGGUAAGUUGUUUCGAUAUUGAAUUCCUGAUAAGGAAUCGUAUCAGAUAAGUAAUGAAUGUUUAUUUAGUAUAUGAAUAUGAAUACUGAUAUUGGUUUCCUGAGAAGAAGGCAUAUCAUGGUAUGUGAUACUAAUGUUGGAUUUCCGGUAAGGAAUUGUAUCUUGUUAUGUGGAUUCCCGAUAAGGAAUCAUUUUAGUAAAAGUUGUUAUGAUAUUGAUUGCCUGAAAAGAGGUUGUUUAUAAAAUAUAAGAAAGUGAUCGAUUGAUAGAGUAUGAAAGUUUAAGUUUGGAUUUCCGUUAAGAAAUUGACUAAAGGUAAUGAAGAAUAUUGUUUCUAUCAAAGUUAGUGAUCUCAAAUUCCUAUUAUGGAAUCGUGGUAAGUUGAAAGUGUUGAGCCACUAUGGUUUUGAUGAUGACUAACUAAAGUAAUAACUAACAAGGUUUAUAAGUUUUAUGUGUGCAAGGUUUAGUGAUUAAUAAUGGUGCUUUCUAAAGAUAAUAAGUGAAGUUCCUGAGUUGGAACUCCAAGAGAAGAAUGAAGUUCCUAAGUGAUUUUUAUGAUUAUAGUUCUUGUUCAAACAGUUCCUCAAGGAAUAGUCUACUGUUCCUCAAGGAACUGUCUGCUAUUCCUCAAGGAACUGUCUGCUGUUCCUCAAGGAAUUGUCUGCCAUUCUUCAAGGAAUUGUCUACUGUUCCUCAAGGAACUAUUCACAGUUCCUAAGGAGCGUUGUUCCGUUCCAGAUGCAUUUGGUUUCACAGUUCCUCAGCAACUACCUGCUGCUCAGGUCCUCUGGAACUACCUGCUCCGUUCCUCUAGAACUCAUUCGUGUUUUAGAGUUCCUUCAAGGAAUGGGACGUAUUAAUCUUCAGAGUUGAAGAGUUAAAGGGAUGACAUGAAGUCUAAGUUCAAGAGUAUGUACUUAGUAUUUAUGUAAGUAAUUUACGUUGCUUUAUACUAAGGAACUACAUGGAAUCUAAUUAAUGCAACAGUAGUUUUAAAAGGUAUUUAACAGAGAGUUUUCAGGAAAUAUUGUUAAUAAAUAAAAUAGUUUUUAUUUUUAAUAAAAAUUCUUUCUUUAUUACUGAAUCAAUAAAAAUGGAUUUCCUAAAUAAAUUCCUUAUUUCUCUCAACUGUUUAAAACCACGUACUGUUAGUGGAUUGUCCAUUACUUUGCUUGUCCCUCAAGAAGUGUGAACGUGGGAAAAUGAUUCUACGUGGGUUACUGCUUCACACUUAGUGGAGGAACAAAUGGAACUGGCAUGAGAAGACUUCACUAUAAAAAGAGAAGUCUGCCUCAUUACAAUCCACCAACUAAAAACAUAUUUCUAUUGCUAAAUCUUAAGUGUUUUCUGAAAAGGUCUGUUGCACUAUUAAGUGAGUUCCUAAGUUCCUUAAGUAUUUGAGUUCAACGUAAUUACUAGUGUUUUUACACAAUUUGAGUUGUAUUUUGGGGAACAAGGGUUGAGUGACUCUUAUAACGACUUAAAGUUGAGUCAGUGAGUAGAGGCUUCGGAGUAGAAGCAAGAGAGAGGAGAGUUCCAGUAAUCAGAGGGGAUUAUUGUGGGAACUUGAGUUCGAGAGGAACUCGAGUUGUAGAGUGUUAUUGUAAUAGAGUGAUUGCAAUAAUAAAGUUUAUGAGAUUUUCACUUCUUGAUAG